AGAGUUAAAUAGUACGUGAAAUUGUUGAAAGGGAAACGAUUGAAGUCAGUCGUACCAUCGGAAAAUCAGCUUUUUGGUGUGGAUUUUAUGGGCGUACAGGAGCUUUACGGCCCUGUUGUUUGUAAAAUCUAUGCUUUUGGGUGCAUUUUUUCGCGUGGUAGGUUAACAUCAGUUUCGAUUAUUAUAAAAUGAUCGGAGGAAUGUAGCUUCAUUUUUUGAAGUGUUAUAGCCUUUGGUAGAUGUGGUGAUUGGGACUGAGGAUUGCAACGAAUACCCUUUGGGCUAUCCGUCUGAUCUCUGAACGUCGCCCGGGUACCGAAAGCUUGCUUACGGUUAUUCAGGUUUGACGGUCAAAAGGUUAGAACGUGAUUAAAUUCGUUAAGGAUGUUGACAUAAUGGCUUUAAACGACC
RNAcentral lists this ribosomal RNA (411 nucleotides) under Dominikia disticha. RNAcentral describes it as "partial large subunit ribosomal RNA". Lineage: Eukaryota; Fungi; Glomeromycota; Glomeromycetes; Glomerales; Glomeraceae. The record is from RNAcentral.